Molecule: signal recognition particle RNA, 298 nt
Filed under: Saimiri boliviensis boliviensis (Bolivian squirrel monkey)
Lineage: Eukaryota; Metazoa; Chordata; Mammalia; Primates; Cebidae
Description: Metazoan signal recognition particle RNA (ENSSBOG00000002261.1)
Rfam family: Metazoan signal recognition particle RNA
About the family: The signal recognition particle (SRP) is a universally conserved ribonucleoprotein.
Source: RNAcentral
GCCUCACGCCGUGGCGCGUGCCUGUAGUCCCAGCUACUUGGGAGGCUGAGAGGUGAGGAUCGCUUGAGCCCAGGAGUCUGGCCUGUAGUGCGAUAUGCCGAUCGGGUGUCCGCACUAAGUUCGACAUCAAUAUGGUGAUCUACUGGGAGCGGGGGACUACAAGGUUGCCUAAGGAGGGGUGAACUGGCCCAGGUCAGAAAUGGAGCAGGUCAAAACUCCCGUGCUGAUCACUAGUGGAAUGGCGCCUGUGAAUAGCCACUGCACUCCAGCUUGGGCAACAUAGCCAGACGCUGUCUCU